UACGUAGGGUGCGAGCGUUAAUCGGAAUACUGGGCGUAAAGCGUGCGCAGGCGGCGCGUUAAGACAGGUGUGAAAGCCCCGAGCUUAACUUGGGAAUUGCGCUUGUGACUGGCGUGCUGGAGUGUGGCAGGAGGGAGGUGGAAUUCCACGUGUAGCAGUGAAAUGCGUAGAGAUGUGGAGGAACACCGAUGGCGAAGGCAGCCUCCUGGGCCAGCACUGACGCUCAUGCACGAAAGCGUGGGGGAGCAAACAGG
RNAcentral lists this ribosomal RNA (254 nucleotides) under uncultured bacterium. Its description in RNAcentral is "partial 16S ribosomal RNA". It matches the Rfam family "Bacterial small subunit ribosomal RNA", at positions 524 to 776 of the family's 1533-position model. The record is from RNAcentral.